ACCCCCCAAUGCCCGACCCUAUUCGAAGAUCUUCUCUUCUUCCUCGAAGCCAAUGUGUCGUCGCUCCGCCGUUGUCAUUGGAACCUCUGUGUGAAGCUCGGAGCCUUGCUGCAUGGAGCUGCUGCCGUAGUGGGUCCUCCUCAGCGAUGUCACCAGCCCCAAUUCCCAGCUCCUGGUGGUACACUUGGGUUCGCCCUGAAGGUGAUGGUCUCACAGCCUUGAUGUGUUCGCUGCUGCUCCUUUGCCGCGCAACCUUCUGCCCAGUAGUUAGUCCGGCGGCAUCCCCUCCGCUGACCCUUCUCCCUAUGUUGAUCGUGUCGCUGUUGGUGUCAUUAAUCGGCCAUGGCAAAGUCGUGGGUUGAAACCGCUAUUCCCCUUCAGCUUCUGAAACUGAAACCUGAUUGUCUUGAUUUCGAUUGUGUUGAUUAUGCUAAAGAUUAGCGAAUCCUGCUUCUGUUCUGAUUAUAUUCCUGACCUGUACAGGCGGAAUAAUUGUCCACUGCCUCUGUAGCUGAUUUUCUGCUGCCAUCGCUGUCAGUUGGUGAGCUAAAUUGUUGCCUUCUCAUGGAGUCCAAGUAGCUCCCACAUCCGGAGCCUCUUCCAACAAUUGCAGAAUAUCUCUGAUGAUUGCGUCUGCUUCAGCUAAGGGCGUUCUUGCCUUAAUGGCUUGAACCAGAGUCUCUGAUCACCGCUGCUGAUGCUGCCAUGCCUGUUUCCUUGUAAAAUGGCGCGUCUAUGUUCACUUUCGCCCUGUUGUGCGGCGAAGGCCUCCAGGUAAUUCUCCUACUCUCACCAUUCUUGCCUGCUAUAGGUUUGUUAUCUCUAAUGAAGUCCUUUGUUGCAUUAUGGUAUUUUGUUGCAAGCUGUUCUGAAUAGAUUAUUGCCUUUUGUGGAUUGAUUUUUGUUUGCUGGAAUAUGUGCUGGUUCCUCACUUUUCAAAUGCACCAACAAACACAUUUCAAAUUGCACAAAAUUUUGUCCUGUUCAUUUCCUGUCUCACUCUUGAUUUUGUCAAUUGUGUUCAUCAUCCAUUUUAUAAAAGAUCCCACAGUAUAAGCCGUAGGCACAAUUUAAAGGCUAGAUCCAAACCACACCGCUCUAGUCCACGGGCACAAGAGUAACACGUGUUCUAUUGUCUCAUCUUGUUCCUGCCAUAUGCUGCACGUGGGUGUAAGAGCUCUUUUGCGCUGAUAUAAUUUCGUGUUUACUGGCAGAAUUUCGUGCACUAAUUUCCAUAAAAACAUUCUAAACUUUCCCGGCACUGGUAAUCUCCAAAUAGUCUCCCAUACCUCCCUCAAAUUCUGACUUGUCGAUACUUUGCCGAGUUUUGUCUCUUCCUUUGUAUCUUUCUCCUCCUUCGCAGCAUGGUAUCCGGUUCUGACUGAGUACUGUCUGUCAUUUCUAUAGGCCAAACAAAAUGAUCCUUUUUAUUAAUCAAACUAAUGGGCGUUCUGGUUAUCAGCUCAGCCAUAUUACCAUGAAAAAUAUUACGAAUUUUGUCUAAGUCCCAGCCCUCGCCCUCUCUUACCAGCUCGCUCACUCUUCUAUAUCGAUUUUCUCCGCCUCUUCCCAACUUAUCUAUUCUUACCACCCAAUUAUCUUCCCAAAUGUCUAUCGCUGCUCCACUUCCUACACUCCACCUUCCCUUCCUUCUGAGGAAAUCUCUUCCCUCUAACAUACUCCUCCAUAUCCAUGAUGCGUUUCCUCCUCUUCCCGCUUCCCAUAGGCUGCAAUUAGGAUAGUAAAUGGCCUUUAGUAUCCGAGUCCAUAUUGCAUCUUCCUCUUUUAGAAGUCUCCAAGCUUACUUAGCCAAAACUUUUACUUUAUA
Molecule: non-coding RNA, 1828 nt
Organism: Arachis ipaensis
Lineage: Eukaryota; Viridiplantae; Streptophyta; Magnoliopsida; Fabales; Fabaceae
Source: RefSeq, a predicted model, not a curated record